This 1001-nucleotide long non-coding RNA is filed under the name Erythranthe guttata (spotted monkey flower). RNAcentral describes it as "long non-coding RNA (EGUT_LNC002336)". The record is from RNAcentral. Lineage: Eukaryota; Viridiplantae; Streptophyta; Magnoliopsida; Lamiales; Phrymaceae.
GUCGAUCCGACCCGACAGUCUGGGUCAGACCCAGAUUAUCGACAUGGUUUGAAUUGCUGCAAACGAAAUCGUUGGCCAAUUGCGUGCUCGUCGAUUUGUGUAAUCAUCAAUCAGGUGAGUUUCGAAUCGUUUGGUUAGAAGAUUUUGGGAGACAAUUUUUAAUUAAUUUUUAAUUUGAAUGAUAAAUGUUAAAGAUAGAAGAUUGUUUAUUGAGUUUUUCUAAUGUUUUAACUGUUUUACUUAAGCCGAUCUAAUUUUUAAUCUUGAUGAUUAAGAGUAUUUAAUUAGUUCAACGUUAAUUUGUUGUGUAAGAUCACUCUGUUUUUUUCCUGCUUAGGAUCAAAUGUUCGAUGAAUUAUAAUUCGAAUUUAAAGGCUGCUCAUGUCAAUUAGAAUCAAUUAGCUUCGUAAAAUGUACGUGUCUUGUGUGAAUUUUGGGGGAAUUAUGUGUGAAUUUUGGUGGCCGAAUGUGUGUGAAUUAAAGGGCUUGACCUUGGGCGGCGGCGCAAAGAGGGUGCGGCAGCCACUUUCUUUGGCUUGUGUAUUUUGUUUUUCCUUAUAUUCUUGAGUUUCUUGAGAAUUCAUAGGGUUGGCCCACAAAUGUUAUUUGAAAUAGUGGAUUACGUGUUUAUUUGUUAUGAUUUGAGAGUGUGCCACUAGUGGAUUACACUAAUUAGAUAUUUGUUAUGAUUUGAGAGUGUGCCACUAGUGUGGAUUACACUAAUUAGACUGACAAUUUGUUACCUUCUUUUCUUUUUUGGUUCAGGUUCUUGAGCAACCGAAGUGAUGCCAAAUUUGUUUAUACAUUUGUUAAUAGUGGUUUUGGAUGAACUUUUAUUAAUAGUGGUUUUGGAUAAACAUAUACUGGAUUACACUUAUGUAAUAGUGGAUUACACUAAUUUAAUAGUGAAUUCUGCUUAUUUUAUAGUAAGUUUUACUUCAAUUCCAUAGUGGUUUUCGAUGAAUUUAUGCUUAUUUUAUAUUAAUUUGUACUUUAAUUUC